GACAGAGGGGGCAAGCGUUGCUCGGAAUCACUGGGCGUAAAGGGCGCGUAGGCGGGAUGGCAGGUCGGUCGUGAAAUCCUUCGGCUCAACCGAAGAACGUCGGCCGAUACUGCCGUUCUUGAGGGAUGCAGAGGAGAUUGGAAUUCCCGGUGUAGCGGUGAAAUGUGUAGAGAUCGGGAGGAACACCGGUGGCGAAGGCGGGUCUCUGGGCAUCUCCUGACGCUGAGGCGCGAAAGCGUGGGGAGCAAACGGG
This 253-nucleotide ribosomal RNA is filed under the name uncultured bacterium. RNAcentral's name for it is "partial 16S ribosomal RNA". It matches the Rfam family "Bacterial small subunit ribosomal RNA", at positions 524 to 776 of the family's 1533-position model. The record is from RNAcentral.